This 497-nucleotide ribosomal RNA is filed under the name uncultured bacterium. RNAcentral's name for it is "partial 16S ribosomal RNA". It matches the Rfam family "Bacterial small subunit ribosomal RNA", at positions 28 to 507 of the family's 1533-position model. The record is from RNAcentral.
GAUGAACGCUGGCGGCGUGCCUAAUGCAUGCAAGUCGAGCGAACAGACGAGGAGCUUGCUCCUCUGACGUUAGCGGCGGACGGGUGAGUAACACGUGGAUAACCUACCUAUAAGACUGGGAUAACUUCGGGAAACCGGAGCUAAUACCGGAUAAUAUAUUGAACCGCAUGGUUCAAUAGUGAAAGACGGUUUUGCUGUCACUUAUAGAUGGAUCCGCGCCGCAUUAGCUAGUUGGUAAGGUAACGGCUUACCAAGGCAACGAUGCGUAGCCGACCUGAGAGGGUGAUCGGCCACACUGGAACUGAGACACGGUCCAGACUCCUACGGGAGGCAGCAGUAGGGAAUCUUCCGCAAAGGGCGAAAGCUUGACGGAGCAACGCCGCGUGAGUGAUGAAGGUCUUCGGAUCGUAAAACUCUGUUAUUAGGGAAGAACAAAUGUGUAAGUAACUAUGCACGUCUUGACGGUACCUAAUCAGAAAGCCACGGCUAACUACGUG